Molecule: ribosomal RNA, 514 nt
Filed under: Parastagmatoptera sp. MN028
Lineage: Eukaryota; Metazoa; Arthropoda; Insecta; Mantodea; Mantidae
Description: partial 16S ribosomal RNA
Rfam family: Bacterial large subunit ribosomal RNA (bases 388-514)
Source: RNAcentral
GGUUUCUUGUUAUGAUAUUUAAGAAAUUUAACCUGCCCACUGAAUAUUUUAAAGGGCCGCAGUAUUUUGACUGUGCAAAGGUAGCAUAAUCAUUAGUCUUUUAAUUAAGGGCUAGAAUGAAUGGUUGGACGAGGUAAAUUCUGUUUUAUAUUAAUUAAAUUUGAAUUUAAUUUUUAAGUAAAAAAACUUAAAUAUUUUUAAGGGACGAGAAGACCCUAUAGAGUUUAAUAAAUGUAGUAAUUAAUUGAGUUAUGGCUUGAUUUUUGAUUAUUAUGAAAUUUAUUUAAUUGGGGUGAUUAAAGUAUAAAUAAAACUCUUUUUAAUUUUUAAUAGUAUAUUUAGUUAAGUGAUCCAUAUUUAAUGAUUAAAAGAUUAAAUUACCUUAGGGAUAACAGCAUAAUUUUUUUUGAGAGUUCAUAUUGAAAAAGAAGAUUGUGACCUCGAUGUUGGAUUAAGAUUAGUUUUGGGUGUAGAUGUUUAAUAGCUAGGUCUGUUCGACCUUUAAAAUCUUACA